Molecule: long non-coding RNA, 1037 nt
Filed under: Gorilla gorilla gorilla (western lowland gorilla)
Lineage: Eukaryota; Metazoa; Chordata; Mammalia; Primates; Hominidae
Description: lncRNA (ENSGGOG00000044637.1)
Source: RNAcentral
GGGGUGAAGCACGAGAGCAACAUCCUAAUCAAGUUUGGCAUCUUCCCCAUUCUUCUCCCUGCCCCUAGGGUGUGCAUCCUGCAUUCCUGGGGGCUCAGUACCCUUAUUCAGUGACUCCUCCCUCACUUGCUGCCACUGCUGUGUCUUUCCCCGUUCCUUCCAUGGCACCCAUCACAGUACAUCCCUACCACACAGAGCCAGGGCUUCCACUGCCCACCAGUGUGGCCUUGAGCAGUGUCCAUCCAGCAUCCACGUUUCCAGCCAUCCAGGGUGCCUCACUGCCUGCCCUGACCACACAGCCCAGCCCUCUGGUGAGCGGAGGUUUUCCACCACCCGAGGAGGAGACACACAGUCAGCCAGUCAAUCCCCACAGCCUGCACCAUCUGCAUGCUGCCUACCGUGUCGGAAUGCUGGCACUGGAGAUGCUGGGUCGCCGGGCACACAAUGAUCACCCCAACAACUUCUCCCGCUCCCCCCCCUACACUGAUGAUGUCAAAUGGUUGCUGGGGCUGGCAGCAAAGCUGGGAGAUCGUCAUGGAGACGCUGCAGCGGCUGAGUCCCGCUCAUGCCCACAACCACCUGCGUGCCCCGGCCUUCCACCAACUGGUGCAGCGCUGCCAGCAGGCAUACAUGCAGUACAUCCACCACCGCUUGAUUCACCUGACUCCUGCGGACUACGACGACUUUGUGAAUGCGAUCCGGAGUGCCCGCAGCGCCUUCUGCCUGACGCCCAUGGGCAUGAUGCAGUUCAACGACAUCCUACAGAACCUCAAGCGCAGCAAACAGACCAAGGAGCUGUGGCAGCGGGUCUCACUCGAGAUGGCCACCUUCUCCCCCUGAGUCUUUCACCCUUAGGGUCCUAUACAGGGACCCAGGCCUGUGGCUAUGGGGGCCCCUCACACAGUGGGAGUGAAACUUGGCUGGACAGAUCAUCCUCACUCAGUUCCCUGGUAGCCCAGACUGACAGCUGCUCUUGGGCUGUAGCUUGGGGCCAAGAUGUCUCAGACCCUAGAAGCCUAGGGCUGGGGGAGACAGCC